GGUUCAGGUUCAAAUGUUACCUCGAUAAUUUUUUUAUUUUUUUCAGGGGCUGUUUCUGUAACCUUUCCAGAUCUCAACAAAAUCGCACUCACAUUAGCAUUAGAAUCCUUUGGAUUGACAACUGUUUGGGUUGGAAGCUGGUUCGACCCUUGGGCUUGCAUGUUAUUUAUUUGAGUAACAAGUUAUCCCAUUUGCGUGUUCAAGAUCUGAAUGCUAGAAUCG
This 222-nucleotide long non-coding RNA is filed under the name Lathyrus oleraceus (garden pea). RNAcentral's name for it is "Pisum sativum (pea) long non-coding RNA (PSAT_LNC018514)". The record is from RNAcentral. Lineage: Eukaryota; Viridiplantae; Streptophyta; Magnoliopsida; Fabales; Fabaceae.